GACGAACGCUGGCGGCGUGCUUAACACAUGCAAGUCGAACGGAAAGGCCCUGCUUUUGUGGGGUGCUCGAGUGGCGAACGGGUGUGUAACACGUGAGUAACCUGCCCUUGACUUUGGGAUAACUUCAGGAAACGGGGGCUAAUACCGGAUAGGAGCUCCUGCUGCAUGGUGGGGGUUGGAAAGUUUCGGCGGUUGGGGAUGGACUCGCGGCUUAUCAGCUUGUUGGUGGGGUAGUGGCUUACCAAGGCUUUGACGGGUAGCCGGCCUGAGAGGGUGACCGGCCACAUUGGGACUGAGAUACGGCCCAGACUCCUACGGGAGGCAGCAGUGGGGAAUAUUGCACAAUGGGCGGAAGCCUGAUGCAGCAACGCCGCGUGCGGGAUGACGGCCUUCGGGUUGUAAACCGCUUUCGCCUGUGACGAAGCGUGAGUGACGGUAAUGGGUAAAGAAGCACCGGCUAACUACGUG
RNAcentral lists this ribosomal RNA (468 nucleotides) under uncultured bacterium. RNAcentral describes it as "partial 16S ribosomal RNA". It matches the Rfam family "Bacterial small subunit ribosomal RNA", at positions 28 to 507 of the family's 1533-position model. The record is from RNAcentral.